RNAcentral lists this ribosomal RNA (505 nucleotides) under uncultured bacterium. RNAcentral's name for it is "bacterial SSU rRNA". It matches the Rfam family "Bacterial small subunit ribosomal RNA", at positions 8 to 507 of the family's 1533-position model. The record is from RNAcentral.
AGAGUUUGAUCAUGGCUCAGAUUAAACGCUGGCGGCAUGCCUUACACAUGCAAGUCGAACGGCAGCGACGGGGGCAACCCUGGUGGCGAGUGGCGGACGGGUGAGUAAAGCAUCGGAACGUAUCCUGGAGUGGGGGAUAACGUAGCGAAAGUUACGCUAAUACCGCAUAUUCUGUGAGCAGGAAAGCAGGGGAUCGCAAGACCUUGCGCUCUGGGAGCGGCCGAUGUCGGAUUAGCUAGUUGGUGGGGUAAAGGCCUACCAAGGCGACGAUCCGUAGCGGGUCUGAGAGGAUGAUCCGCCACACUGGGACUGAGACACGGCCCAGACUCCUACGGGAGGCAGCAGUGGGGAAUUUUGGACAAUGGGCGAAAGCCUGAUCCAGCCAUGCCGCGUGAGUGAAGAAGGCCUUCGGGUUGUAAAGCUCUUUCGGUGGGGAAGAAAUUGCAUGGGCUAAUACCCUGUGUAGAUGACGGUACCUGGAGAAGAAGCACCGGCUAACUACGUG